GAUGAACGCUGGCGGCGUGCCUAAUACAUGCAAGUCGAGCGAACAGACGAGGAGCUUGCUCCUCUGACGUUAGCGGCGGACGGGUGAGUAACACGUGGAUAACCUACCUAUAAGACUGGGAUAACUUCGGGAAACCGGAGCUAAUACCGGAUAAUAUAUUGAACCGCAUGGUUCAAUAGUGAAAGACGGUUUUGCUGUCACUUAUAGAUGGAUCCGCGCCGCAUUAGCUAGUUGGUAAGGUAACGGCUUACCAAGGCAACGAUGCGUAGCCGACCUGAGAGGGUGGUCGGCCACACUGGAAACGGGACCAGGUCCAGACCCCUACGGGGGGGAGCCGUAGGGAAUUUUCCGCAAUGGGCGAAAGGCUGACGGAGCAACGCCGCGUGGGGGAUGAAGGUUCUCGGAUUGUAAAACUCUGUUUUUUGGGAAAAAAAAAUGUGUAAGUAAAUAUGCACGUUUUGACGGUACCCUAACAAAAAGCCACGGCUAACCAAG
RNAcentral lists this ribosomal RNA (495 nucleotides) under uncultured bacterium. RNAcentral describes it as "partial 16S ribosomal RNA". It matches the Rfam family "Bacterial small subunit ribosomal RNA", at positions 28 to 505 of the family's 1533-position model. The record is from RNAcentral.